RNAcentral lists this transfer RNA (77 nucleotides) under Tenericutes bacterium HGW-Tenericutes-1. RNAcentral's name for it is "tRNA-Pro". It matches the Rfam family "tRNA". From Rfam's summary of the family: Transfer RNA (tRNA) molecules are approximately 80 nucleotides in length. Their secondary structure includes four short double-helical elements and three loops (D, anti-codon, and T loops). RNAcentral also lists the same sequence under 1 other name. The record is from RNAcentral. Lineage: Bacteria; Bacillati; Mycoplasmatota.
CGAGAUGUGGCGCAGUUUGGUAGCGCGCUUGGUUCGGGACCAAGAGGUCGUGGGUUCGAAUCCCGUCAUCUCGACCA